AUGAUUGUGGUUUAAUUCGAUGCAACGCGAAAACCUUACCCACCUUUGACAUGUACGGAAUCCUUUAGAGAUAGAGGAGUGCUCGAAAGAGAACCGUAACACAGGUGCUGCAUGGCUGUCGUCAGCUCGUGUCGUGAGAUGUUGGGUUAAGUCCCGCAACGAGCGCAACCCUUGUCAUUAGUUGCUACAUUCAGUUGGGCACUCUAAUGAGACUGCCGGUGACAAACCGGAGGAAGGUGGGGAUGACGUCAAGUCCUCAUGGCCCUUAUAGGUGGGGCUACACACGUCAUACAAUGGAUGGUACAAAGGGUCGCCAACCCGCGAGGGGGAGCCAAUCCCAUAAAGCCAUUCGUAGUCCGGAUCGCAGUCUGCAACUCGACUGCGUGAAGUCGGAAUCGCUAGUAAUCGUGGAUCAGAAUGUCACGGUGAAUACGUUCCCGGGUCUU
RNAcentral lists this ribosomal RNA (446 nucleotides) under uncultured Acidovorax sp. RNAcentral's name for it is "bacterial SSU rRNA". It matches the Rfam family "Bacterial small subunit ribosomal RNA", at positions 936 to 1382 of the family's 1533-position model. Lineage: Bacteria; Pseudomonadati; Pseudomonadota; Betaproteobacteria; Burkholderiales; Comamonadaceae. The record is from RNAcentral.